UCCUCAUGAAUAAUUUUGUGCAAGUUCUUGUGUUAUUUGGCCGUUUUUCUGAGUUACUGUAUUUUGUUUUUAGGUUCGUCCAGAUGUUCAUUAUCUUGGAUUUUUAAUGGUCCUUGCAUUAGCUGACGUCUGCUCCUACCUUGCUCCAUUGUAUUUACUUCUUAUUAUUAACUUGAUGCACCCUUUUCUAUGUCUGCAGUAAAAUCUGAACAACUAUUCAUUGAUUUGCAGUGCUAUAAGAGAAUAGAAUACAAAACUCCCACCUUUUGCAUGCUCCUUCCAAUUCAACGGGACAAAAUAUGUUUCGAAAUAUGAUUGGCAUUUCAGCUUCAGGUAGUGAAGCUCAGAUUCAUCAAGAUGACACAAAUAAUUCUCGCGGAUGCAUUGUUUUUUGUCUGCUAUUGUUUGGAGAGAAUGUUUAGGAAGUAAAGGAGAAAUUAGAGUGGGAUUAGCUGUCCUGAGAACGAUGUAUCAUUUACUUCCAUCAUGGAGGGAGCAAAUUUGGGUAAUGGCUAUUAUAUAAUAUUGAUUGAUGUUAAGAAUUACACAGUGAUGUACAUGUUCAUAAACUGCUUUGAAAAUAAGAAUUUCAUUUGC
Molecule: long non-coding RNA, 597 nt
Filed under: Elaeis guineensis (African oil palm)
Lineage: Eukaryota; Viridiplantae; Streptophyta; Magnoliopsida; Arecales; Arecaceae
Description: long non-coding RNA (EGUI_LNC009164)
Source: RNAcentral